GACCAGAGGAUGCUGACCACGAGAGACAGACCUAUUCCUAACAUCAGUGAACUUCAGCAUGGACUCAAAGGAAAGGACAUACCUGAAGGUCACAACUGCCUCACCGUUUUCUCAGAGGGGCAAGAAGAAAAUGAAAAGCUGAUUUCAGAUUAAAGACUAAUACAGGACAUUCA
Gymnodraco acuticeps is the source of this 173-nucleotide long non-coding RNA. RefSeq lists it as uncharacterized. The transcript is spliced from 2 exons. NCBI's taxonomy places the organism in Eukaryota, Metazoa, Chordata, Actinopteri, Perciformes, Bathydraconidae. The record is from RefSeq and is a predicted model, not a curated record.